RNAcentral lists this ribosomal RNA (448 nucleotides) under uncultured bacterium. Its description in RNAcentral is "bacterial SSU rRNA". It matches the Rfam family "Bacterial small subunit ribosomal RNA", at positions 355 to 825 of the family's 1533-position model. The record is from RNAcentral.
UGAGGAAUAUUGCACAAUGGGCGAAAGCCUGAUGCAGCGACGCCGCGUGGGUGAAGAAGGUUUUCGGAUCGUAAAACCCUUUUCUGUGUGACGAGAACGGACGGUAGCACAGGAAUAAGUCUCGGCUAACUACGUGCCAGCAGCCGCGGUAAAACGUAGGAGACAAACGUUAUCCGGAGUUACUGGGCGUAAAGGGCGUGCAGGCGGCAGUCUAAGUCUGGCGUGAAAUAUCCCGGCUCAACCGGGGAAGGUCGUCGGAUACUGGGCAGCUAGAGGACGGUAGAGGCGUGUGGAAUUCCGGGUGUAGUGGUGAAAUGCGUAGAGAUCCGGAGGAACACCAGUGGCGAAGGCGACACGCUGGGCCGUACCUGACGCUAAGACGCGACAGCAUGGGGAGCAAACAGGAUUAGAUACCCCAGUAGUCCCUGAGCGGGCUGGCAAGGCGCAU